CUACGGGAGGCAGCAGUGGGGAAUUGUUCGCAAUGGACGCAAGUCUGACGACGCAACGCCGCGUGGAGGACGAAGAUCUUCGGAUCGUAAACUCCUGUCGAGUGGGACGAACGGCCCGGGACCUAACACGUUCCGGGAGUGACGGUACCACUAAAGGAAGCCCCGGCUAACUCCGUGCCAGCAGCCGCGGUAAUACGGGGGGGGCCAGCGUUGUUCGGAAUUACUGGGCGUAAAGGGCGCGUAGGCGGCCUUCUAAGUCAGACGUGAAAUCCCUCGGCUCAACCGGGGAACUGCGUCUGAUACUGGAAGGCUUGAAUUCGGGAGAGGGAUGCGGAAUUCCAGGUGUAGCGGUGAAAUGCGUAGAUAUCUGGAGGAACACCGGUGGCGAAGGCGGCAUCCUGGACCGAUAUUGACGCUGAGGCGCGAAAGCCAGGGGAGCAAACGGGAUUAGAUACCCCAGUAA
This 463-nucleotide ribosomal RNA is filed under the name uncultured bacterium. Its description in RNAcentral is "bacterial SSU rRNA". It matches the Rfam family "Bacterial small subunit ribosomal RNA", at positions 339 to 793 of the family's 1533-position model. The record is from RNAcentral.